This 301-nucleotide ribosomal RNA is filed under the name uncultured bacterium. RNAcentral describes it as "partial 16S ribosomal RNA". It matches the Rfam family "Bacterial small subunit ribosomal RNA", at positions 509 to 807 of the family's 1533-position model. The record is from RNAcentral.
CAGUCGCCACGGGAAUACGUAGGUGGCAAGCGUUGUCCGGAAUUAUUGGGCGUAAAGGGCUCGCAGGCGGUUUCUUAAGCCUGAUGUGAAAGCCCCCGGCUCAACCGGGGAGGGUCAUUGGAAACUGGGAAACUUGAGUGCAGAAGAGGAGAGUGGAAUUCCACGUGUAGCGGUGAAAUGCGUAGAGAUGUGGAGGAACACCAGUGGCGAAGGCGACUCUCUGGUCUGUAACUGACGCUGAGGAGCGAAAGCGUGGGGAGCGAACAGGAUUAGAUACCCCCGUAGUCCCUGUCUCUUAUAC